GGACGGGUGAGUAACACGUGGAUAACCUACCUAUAAGACUGGGAUAACUUCGGGAAACCGGAGCUAAUACCGGAUAAUAUAUUGAACCGCAUGGUUCAAUAGUGAAAGACGGUUUUGCUGUCACUUAUAGAUGGAUCCGCGCCGCAUUAGCUAGUUGGUAAGGUAACGGCUUACCAAGGCAACGAUGCGUAGCUGACCUGAGAGGGUGAUCGGCCACACUGGAACUGAGACACGGUCCAG
This 240-nucleotide ribosomal RNA is filed under the name uncultured Staphylococcus sp. RNAcentral's name for it is "partial 16S ribosomal RNA". It matches the Rfam family "Bacterial small subunit ribosomal RNA", at positions 100 to 334 of the family's 1533-position model. Lineage: Bacteria; Bacillati; Bacillota; Bacilli; Caryophanales; Staphylococcaceae. The record is from RNAcentral.